Non-coding RNA from Nothobranchius furzeri (turquoise killifish), 1399 nucleotides. The record is from RefSeq and is a predicted model, not a curated record. Lineage: Eukaryota; Metazoa; Chordata; Actinopteri; Cyprinodontiformes; Nothobranchiidae.
UCUAAAUUAACUUUUUUUUGCUGAUGAACUGUAUAAAUGAGUGUCUAAUAGUGUUUUAAAUGUGUGUAUUCAUUAUUUUAGCAUUUUGGUGCAUUUUCUUAAAAAAUUAAAAAUUCUGCCUAAAUACCACAGUAUAGCUCCACCUUCAGCUUAAAACAUAGAAUUUGACUCAUUUUGAAUAAAUUUUAGCCAAUGGCUAAAGAGUAAGAUACUACGUAAUCCAGUAGAGUACUACGUAGCAGCUCUGUGUCAACGUUAUAAAAGCAUCGGGAGUCUCGGCCACGCCUUGUGGCGAGUUGGGAGUUGGAUUUGCAUGAGAGUGUAGGAGGCUAGCCGUAGUUCAGCAUUAGCAUAUAGCAUUAGCAUAUCCUAGUCUUUAGCAUAGCUUUUAGUGUUAUACAUACUUAUUUAGUGUUAGCUUGGCUGUUGGAUAUUGUAGUUUAGUUACUGUUUGGCUGUUAGUGUAAUUAGGAAAGUAGUUCGGGUUUAGUGCUCCAUAUCGUGUUAGCAUGGUGAGAUGGUGUAGUGUAGUAUGGUUGCGGAGCUCUGUCGGGUUGCACUCCUUUCCGCUGGACUUAGAAAUUAGGCGCCAGUGGUUGCGUGUCUGGAAAAGAUUCAGCUCCCGCCUGGUGCUGUAGUUUGCAACCAGCAUUUUACCCGCGAUUCUGCACGUCUCCGUUCCAAGAGGGAGGCUGUGCCCACCGUGGCUCUUCCGCGAUUUAGAUACAGCCCACCGACUCUGCUCCCCCACCAUGACGGGCUACAGUCUGAGGCUAAAUCUACCCAAGACACUGGCUGUCAGACUGAUUUAGUAAUCUGCAAGAAUGCACUUGUCCAGGCUGACGUGGUGUUACCCGUAGCAAAGAGCUCACAGCCUCAGUGUCUUGUGACACAGGGACCAUGACAGAAAUUCAUCUUCCAGAAGGUCCCAGAGCAUCCACACCUCCUGAAAAGACCACGGUGUGAGGUGUCUGCUGUUGAUUCCAGCUUCCACCUCAGUGACAGUGCAAGCUCAGUGAACUGUUCAAGGAGGCUACUGAUUCUGGCCCUGUGACACUUGGUGGUCACCACCAGGUGGUGACGUGUGAGCUGAUUCACCUGGACACUCAGCAAAAUAUGGACUCUACACCAUGAGGCAGGCACACGUUAAUAACUCUAUAAGAGCACAUAAGCCUGGCUGAUCACCUGAUAACUCCUGUCAUCUGGUUAUGACAGCAUGAGGAUGUCCUCACACACCUGUAACCUAUCAGCUCAUCUGGCAGAAUAGAGAGAGAAGAGACAACACCACAUCUCCUGUUCCUGGAAAGCCUUCAGCCAUCCUUCGAUGACUGAGAACCUCCAUCAGCUCUGUCUCCUGUCUGCCUACAAUUAUUAUAAUAAAUAUUGUGUUUGACAAGUU